This 401-nucleotide ribosomal RNA is filed under the name uncultured bacterium. RNAcentral describes it as "bacterial SSU rRNA". It matches the Rfam family "Bacterial small subunit ribosomal RNA", at positions 362 to 758 of the family's 1533-position model. The record is from RNAcentral.
UAUUGGACAAUGGGCGCAAGCCUGAUCCAGCAAUACCGCGUGUGUGAAGAAGGCCUUAGGGUUGUAAAGCACUUUCAAUUGGGAGGAAAACCUGCCGGUCAAUACCCGGUAGCUUGACAUUACCUUUAGAAGAAGCACCGGCUAACUCCGUGCCAGCAGCCGCGGUAAUACGGAGGGUGCGAGCGUUAAUCCGAAUUACUGGGCGUAAAGCGUGCGUAGGCGGUUCGUUAAGUCAGAUGUGAAAGCCCUGGGCUCAACCUGGGAACUGCAUUUGAAACUGGCGGACUAGAGUUUAGUAGAGGGGAGUGGAAUUUCAGGUGUAGCGGUGAAAUGCGUAGAUAUCUGAAGGAACACCAGUGGCGAAGGCGACUCCCUGGACUAGAACUGACGCUGAGACGAAA